This 988-nucleotide ribosomal RNA is filed under the name Promicromonospora umidemergens. Its description in RNAcentral is "bacterial SSU rRNA". It matches the Rfam family "Bacterial small subunit ribosomal RNA", at positions 56 to 1057 of the family's 1533-position model. Lineage: Bacteria; Bacillati; Actinomycetota; Actinomycetes; Micrococcales; Promicromonosporaceae. The record is from RNAcentral.
UGCAAGUCGAACGGUGAAGCCCAGCUUGCUGGGUGGAUCAGUGGCGAACGGGUGAGUAACACGUGAGCAACCUGCCCCCUACUUCGGGAUAAGCCUUGGAAACGAGGUCUAAUACCGGAUAUGAGCACCUGCCGCAUGGUGGGUGUUGGAAAGUUUUUCGGUGGGGGAUGGGCUCGCGGCCUAUCAGCUUGUUGGUGGGGUAAUGGCCUACCAAGGCGUCGACGGGUAGCCGGCCUGAGAGGGCGACCGGCCACACUGGGACUGAGACACGGCCCAGACUCCUACGGGAGGCAGCAGUGGGGAAUAUUGCACAAUGGGCGAAAGCCUGAUGCAGCGACGCCACGUGAGGGAUGACGGCCUUCGGGUUGUAAACCUCUUUCAGCAGGGAAGAAGCGAAAGUGACGGUACCUGCAGAAGAAGCGCCGGCUAACUACGUGCCAGCAGCCGCGGUAAUACGUAGGGCGCAAGCGUUGUCCGGAAUUAUUGGGCGUAAAGAGCUCGUAGGCGGUCUGUCGCGUCUGGUGUGAAAUCCCAUGGCUCAACUGUGGGCUUGCAUCGGGUACGGGCAGACUAGAGUGCUGUAGGGGAGACUGGAAUUCCUGGUGUAGCGGUGGAAUGCGCAGAUAUCAGGAGGAACACCGAUGGCGAAGGCAGGUCUCUGGGCAGUUACUGACGCUGAGGAGCGAAAGCAUGGGGAGCGAACAGGAUUAGAUACCCUGGUAGUCCAUGCCGUAAACGUUGGGCACUAGGUGUGGGGCGGGUUCCACUCGUUCUGUGCCGCAGCUAACGCAUUAAGUGCCCCGCCUGGGGAGUACGGCCGCAAGGCUAAAACUCAAAGGAAUUGACGGGGGCCCGCACAAGCGGCGGAGCAUGCGGAUUAAUUCGAUGCAACGCGAAGAACCUUACCAAGGCUUGACAUGUACGAGAACGCGUCAGAGAUGACGAACUCUUUGGACACUCGUACACAGGUGGUGCAUGGUUGUCGUCA